RNAcentral lists this ribosomal RNA (253 nucleotides) under uncultured bacterium. RNAcentral's name for it is "partial 16S ribosomal RNA". It matches the Rfam family "Bacterial small subunit ribosomal RNA", at positions 524 to 776 of the family's 1533-position model. The record is from RNAcentral.
UACAGAGGGUGCAAGCGUUAAUCGGAAUUACUGGGCGUAAAGCGCGCGUAGGCGGCUUGACAAGUCGAGUGUGAAAUCCCCAGGCUUAACCUGGGAACUGCAUCCGAUACUGGAUGGCUUGAAUCCGGGAGAGGGAUGCAGAAUUCCAGGUGUAGCGGUGAAAUGCGUAGAUAUCUGGAGGAAUACCGGUGGCGAAGGCGGCAUCCUGGACCGGCAUUGACGCUGAGGAGCGAAAGCUAGGGGAGCAAACGGG